GGUGUUUUUUUUUAACGUUUCGUGCGCUUGGUAUAGGGUUUUGCAUCUCGGGAAUUCACAAAAUAAUGGCAAACUGGCGUUUUUUAUAGUGAUAUCUGUUUUAUCCCUCCAUAAACAAAGGAAAUAUAUCUAGGUUCUCCAAAAAGAAUGUAUCCAUCUGUCUUCACCUAGGCCGGCAGACAACGAAGAUGCAGACAUAUUACAGUCAGACCUGCGUGUUGCUAUUCAUACUCGUAUCCACCUAUAUCGGGUGUUCAUCCGCCUGUCCGACCGGAUGCAUCUGCCGAGGGAGUCCCGAGAAAAAGGAUACAGCUGUCUGCUUCAAAUCAUGGCCUUACACUCACAAACCAGUAGAGUUUGAUGAGCCGAUCACCUCAAUUGAAUUUCGUCAGCUCUUAUUCCAAGAUGUGGAGCCUUACUUGUCAGCAGUGCAUGACGUCUCUAA
This is a long non-coding RNA of Strongylocentrotus purpuratus (purple sea urchin), 445 nucleotides long. RefSeq lists it as uncharacterized. The transcript is spliced from 3 exons. NCBI's taxonomy places the organism in Eukaryota, Metazoa, Echinodermata, Echinoidea, Camarodonta, Strongylocentrotidae. The record is from RefSeq and is a predicted model, not a curated record.